This 774-nucleotide long non-coding RNA is filed under the name Apteryx owenii (little spotted kiwi). RNAcentral describes it as "lncRNA (ENSAOWG00000005234.1)". Lineage: Eukaryota; Metazoa; Chordata; Aves; Apterygiformes; Apterygidae. The record is from RNAcentral.
GUCUGAAAGAAGAGCAUGUUGUACUGAUUCUAAAGAAAGAAAAAUACCAUUUGCAUCAUGUUUUGUCCUUCAGCGAUAAAAAGAAAUUUUCAGCAUAGCAAAAGAACAGAUCAAAUGUUAUUCCAGAUUUACAGGAGAAAAGAAAUCACAAGUUACAGAGUUGGAGACCCUACAGAAAACAAAGCAAAGGAGAGGUUUUGUUAAAAAGAUGUCCUGGCAAGAUCUCCUCCUCCUCUGUCCCAGAUCAUCUAGCUGCAGUUACCAGGCACCAUUGUUUCCUUCUUCAUACGUGUUGAGAGCCAGACUGGAAGUAAUCCAAGCAGCUUCAGUUUUGCCUGAAGUAGCAAAAGAGCGAGGCAACUUUGCCGUUAUUUUGCCCCUUCAGCGCGGUGCUCAUUACUUCUUCUUCGUGUACUGGGAACAGUGUUUCAAUAAGAGCUCACUGCCUGCACAAAAGGUCCCCUGGGUUACACGCAGGUUCAGAACGACCCAGCUUUGGCAUUUUACGUGGAUACUCAGCGCCUGACAAUGCUGUGGGUGGCUCGUUAUUCUCAGCGGACGCAUUAAGGAAACAAAACACCAUAUGAAGCCUGACUGCGGUCAGGACUGCUUUCAGGGAAUGCGUUUAGGCACUUGUUCCUGCCAGAGCAAAACUGCACGAAGGCUGCGCUCCCUUGGACUCGCUUUUCUUCAGCCAUCUCUAAUCCUUCACCUUGGGAAUGCAUGACAGAGUUGAUUAAUAAAUCGAAAAUAAGAAUAAAAAAUGAAUACUGA